CGGCAUCACCAGGGAACCUGUGAACUAAGCGAGAAACAAAUAUCUAAAGCGAUGGUAAGUAUUAAGGCAGUGGAAGCAAGUAUCGAAGCAAUCAAUUUCAGGACCUAUAAACACACAGAUAAACAAUUAGAGAAAAGGGUUUCUAGAUGAAAAAAGAAGUAGAUAGAGGGACGACACGAUAUUGAUUGUUUCGAUUCAGAUUGAAACCGAUUAGCCCCAAUCCGAUAAAACCAUGGAUCGAAAAAAAUGAAGAUGGAGAAUGGCUGGAGGUGUGCUUCAUUACAAAAAAGUGCGGAACUGAAAUUAAAUCAUCGACAGUGUUAUAACAUACCUGAGGCCAAAUUUUUACUCAAAUCCAAUCAAUCUAAUAACAAACUUGAAAGAGCUGCUGAAAUUUCACCAUAUCUUCAGUGAUAUAGGAAGAGCGAGACAGGAGAGAUUAGGGGUUUUUAUGUGAGACAGAGAGGGAGAUAGCGAUUGUUCUGCAAUUUAUAGGAUUAAAAAGAAUCAGUUGGAGGAGGUGGGUAUUAUUUGGCGGAAGGGUAGAAGGGGGCGACGAUGGUGGUGGAAGUGGUUGUGGUAGAAUGUGUAAGAGAUGUUGUAGAGGGACGAAAUAUGAAUUUCUAAAUGGUAUAGUCAUUUUCGAUGGCUUCAAAAAUCUAUCAGGUGGGAAGCGGUGGAGAAUAGGUAGGUGGAGAACAAUUAUUGGAAGAGAAGAACGGUGAAUACACUAAAAAGCACCACGUAGAUAGUAAAUCUUGACUUGAAUGCAUGUGUAUCCCUCUCUAAGAACACAAAAGAAAACAAAAGGGAAAAAAUAAUAAAAAGUAAACAAAUAAGAAAAUAAAAAAUAAAAAAG
This 859-nucleotide long non-coding RNA is filed under the name Lactuca sativa (garden lettuce). RNAcentral's name for it is "long non-coding RNA (LSAT_LNC001437)". The record is from RNAcentral. Lineage: Eukaryota; Viridiplantae; Streptophyta; Magnoliopsida; Asterales; Asteraceae.